CCUCGUCUCUCUCAUCUCUCUACUCUCAGAGACCACAACCUCAAAACCCUAGCACCGCUUCCAUUCCCCACCGCCUCAACCGGCAGCGCCACCUCCAAACCACCCCAAAUUCACACCCUUGAACCCCCUUUACUUCCUCAUCCCAAAUCCAUGAUCAUUUACCCUCGAAUCGGAUCCAAACUUGUCAAAUUUUAAAUCAAAGGUCUAAACCCUAAAAUCCCAAAACCCAAAUCGAGGAGUUUAAUGAAGGUUUAACGCUGAAAUAGGUUUCAUUCGCGUGUUCUCGUUUGAGAACACACAAUUAAAGCCUAUUUCGUUCAAAAGUUAGAGUUCCCCUUGAAGACUGUCAAGAUUUUUUCCACCUGGCCUAAGUAUUCUUCAGUCAUUUUCCUUUCUUUCAUUUUUCUUCUGUUCUUCAUUUUGUUUGUUUAAGUUCUAGUCUCCAUCUUCUCUUACUUCACUUUUUCCGUUUUGUUUUAGUUUUAAAUCAGUUCUGUCUGUAUGUGUUGAAAUCGAGUUUGUUCAUGCUUGUUUUUUAUUUAUUUAUUUCUCUGCUUCUUUGUGUGUUUUCAUGUCCUAUUUUUUUAAAGAAAAGAAAUAUGAUUUUUCUCUUGGGCAAUUCUGCUUGGCCCAAUGAUUCUAUAUAGGUUUUGAAAUCAGAAGUCCAGGAAGAGAUGCAAUCUAGUUGUGCAAGCUUAGGAUUUUCGGAUUAAACCUUUGGGUCCAUCUGACUUUUGACCCAUUUAGAUUUUUGGGGUAAUUAACAGGGUUUAAAGGGGUAGUUUAGGAAUUUUAGGUGGAAGGAAUCUCAUUUAACUAAAUUAGGAAGCUUCUUGGAAGCUGGGGUAGGGACUUAUGUGAAAAUCUCAAUUUUACACUAAGGAUACCUAAGCAAAAAUGAAAAUUGUAAAAGGUUCUAAGUGCAAAAACUAGUUGUAUUUCUGCUGCCCUAAUACCUUGCCUAUAAACCAUCUUUACUUCACUAGAAAGAAAGAGGAAGAAAAAAGAAACAUUAGAGAUAGAAAAACCCCUGAAAACUGAACGCAUGACUAAAAAGAACACUGAAUUUCCUACAGUUCUUGGUGGAAAACUGCUCAAAAUUUGGCUUGUUUUUCUCUGGAUUUCUGAUUCUCUUGUCUAGAACUCUUGAGAAAGCUCCAUAGUUAUACUGUUGGAUUGAAGAAAAUGGUUUGAGUUUGGUUUUAUGUUGGGGUGUUGAUUUGUGUUUCCUCCAUUGUUCCAUCAAUUGUUCUCGAGCUGGUUUUUGCUGUUUUAUUGACUGAAUCUAGGAUUUGUUUUGCUUGCUGCCGGCUACUGAUUCUUCACUCCUUGGUUUCUAUCUUAUCUCCAGGUAUUUCCUUCAAACCAUGAAUGGAAAUGAAGUUCGUUAUGGCUGUUAUGUUGGAGUCAUGUAAUUCAAGUUGAAAAAAAACUGAUUGUUGUCCCUUCUCUGUUGCAUUACCAGUUUUAAAGUCUAUUAUAUUUUGUUUUUCAAGCUUCUCCCAGGCUCAUAUAAGUUAUUUAGUUCUUGUCAUUAUCUUUUUAGGUUCUGUUAUGGUGUUGUAUAAAUGUUCCUUUUCACUAGCUUAUUUUAAACGCUUGAAGGUUUCUUAUCACAUGUAUAAGUGGUACAGAACUAAUGCAAGGAAAUUUCAGUAGCAUCAAGUAUGUUUCAGGUCUGUUUUGGCCUGUUGAAGCCAUUGUUGUGUGUAUGUGCUUCAAUUUGUUUUAAGAUUGAUGUCCAUAAAGUUUGAAAUCAGGAACUUUCAUGUUGAGGUUUAUCUAGUGUAGUAUCUUAUUUCAUGAAUUAUUGAUUGAAG
RNAcentral lists this long non-coding RNA (1820 nucleotides) under Nicotiana tabacum (common tobacco). Its description in RNAcentral is "long non-coding RNA (NTAB_LNC013233)". Lineage: Eukaryota; Viridiplantae; Streptophyta; Magnoliopsida; Solanales; Solanaceae. The record is from RNAcentral.